AGCAGUCGCCGCGGUAAUACAGAGGGUGCGAGCGUUAAUCGGAUUUACUGGGCGUAAAGCGUGCGUAGGCGGCUUCUUAAGUCGGAUGUGAAAUCCCUGAGCUUAACUUAGGAAUUGCAUUCGAUACUGGGAAGCUAGAGUAUGGGAGAGGAUGGUAGAAUUCCAGGUGUAGCGGUGAAAUGCGUAGAGAUCUGGAGGAAUACCGAUGGCGAAGGCAGCCAUCUGGCCUAAUACUGACGCUGAGGUACGAAAGCAUGGGGAGCAAACAGGAUUAGAUACCCGAGUAGUCCCUGUCUCUUAUAA
RNAcentral lists this ribosomal RNA (303 nucleotides) under uncultured bacterium. RNAcentral's name for it is "partial 16S ribosomal RNA". It matches the Rfam family "Bacterial small subunit ribosomal RNA", at positions 507 to 809 of the family's 1533-position model. The record is from RNAcentral.